Molecule: ribosomal RNA, 253 nt
Filed under: uncultured bacterium
Lineage: Bacteria
Description: partial 16S ribosomal RNA
Rfam family: Bacterial small subunit ribosomal RNA
Source: RNAcentral
UACGGGGGGGGCAAGCGUUGUUCGGAAUUACUGGGCGUAAAGGGUUCGUAGGUGGCCAACUAAGUCAGACAUGAAAUCCCUCAGCUUAACUGGGGAACUGCGUCUGAUACUGGCGAGCUUGAGUGCAGGAGAGGAACGCGGAAUUCCAGGUGUAGCGGUGAAAUGCGUAGAUAUCUGGAGGAACACCGGUGGCGAAGGCGGCGUUCUGGACUGCAACUGACACUGAGAAACGAAAGCCAGGGUAGCAAACGGG